GAGCGCGAUCGGCACGGGCGUGUCGACCGUUGGCGUCGGGCGAGCCUGCCAGUCGGCGGCCAUCGAUCGCAUGGAUGUCGUGCGCACC
This 88-nucleotide transfer RNA is filed under the name Pandoraea cepalis. Its description in RNAcentral is "Pandoraea sp. LMG 31106 tRNA-Ala". Lineage: Bacteria; Pseudomonadati; Pseudomonadota; Betaproteobacteria; Burkholderiales; Burkholderiaceae. The record is from RNAcentral.